CCUACGGGUGGCAGCAGUGGGGAAUAUUGCUCAAUGGGGGAAACCCUGAUGCAGCAACGCCGCGUGAGUGAGGACGUAUUUCGGUAUGUAAAGCUCUAUCAGCAGGGAAUUGAAAAGCAGGUACUUGAAAAAGAAGCACCGGCUAACUACGUGACAGCAGCCGCGGUAAUAAGUAGGGGGCAAGCGUGAUCAGGAUUUCCUGGGUGUAAAGGGAGCGUAGGCGGAAAGGCAAGUCAGAAGGGAAAGCCCAAGGCUCAACCAUGGGACUGCUUUUGAAACUGUCAAACUAGAGUACGGGGUAGGUAAGAGGAAUUCCUAGGGUAGCGGUGAAAUGCGUAGAUAUUAGGAGGAACACCGGUGGCGAAGGCAUCUUACUGGAACGAAACUGACGUUGAGGCUCGAAAGCGUGGGGAGCAAACAGGAUUAGAUACCCUAGUAGUC
RNAcentral lists this ribosomal RNA (441 nucleotides) under uncultured bacterium. RNAcentral's name for it is "partial 16S ribosomal RNA". It matches the Rfam family "Bacterial small subunit ribosomal RNA", at positions 338 to 795 of the family's 1533-position model. The record is from RNAcentral.